RNAcentral lists this long non-coding RNA (982 nucleotides) under Olea europaea subsp. europaea. Lineage: Eukaryota; Viridiplantae; Streptophyta; Magnoliopsida; Lamiales; Oleaceae. The record is from RNAcentral.
CGUACAAAAGGUUUGAACAAUUGGGUCUAACAUAGCCGUGAUCUGUGUAAUAUUUUUGCUGUAAGCUCACAGUUUCAUAUGUAAUUUAGAGACAAAAUUGAAACAGAUUGCUGUCAGGGAAUUUUACCAGACAUUCCCUAGUCUGCUCUUUGGUAGAAAGCAUUGCACUAUAACUUCUUUGAAGAUAUAUCAUUUCUAAGGUUUAGAAGUGGUCGUUUGGGACAAUGGGAUCCUGCACUCACAAAAAGAUAUGUUCAUUCAAGUUUUCUGGAAAUCUGUGAUGAGUUAAUGAAUGAUUUUCGGGCUUCUCCAUUGCAAAUGGUGGUCCUAGGAAUCCAGCCACGACAUUCAUUCUCGUUUGAAGGCCUAUAGCUUGGAAUGUCUUGACAACUUCGAACAGAGAUAGAGGAAACGAGUAGGGAGUCAGUAUCUCUAUUACAUUAAUGAUCUUGAUAGGUUUAACACCUGCUAACUCAUUAGAAAAGCUUGAAACAUGGAUUGUUCAAAUAUUCUGUUCAAUUGAUGGUGCCGCUGCGUCUGACAUUCCAACUAAACCUGAGGAAACAGCAAAAUAGGCCUUGUUGGUGGGAAGAGCAUCAUAGAUCGUUCAAGAUGCCUACGUCAAAGCAAUUCAAAGGGCCACGGAUUUUAUAUAUAUAAACAAUCAGUAUUUUAUUGGGAGCUCAUAUGAUUGGAAACCAUCAAGGAAGGUAACAACUUGGGGGAUAUUAACACCUUGCGCCUUUUACCAAAGGAGCUCUCGCUGAAGUAGAUUUCUAUAUUGAACAUAAGUUGAUUUUCUCUAUUGACGGCCGCACUUUUGUAUUUUCACAAGAUAAUAUUGAUGCAUGUUUUAAAAUUUAUUAUUGGUCUCGUUAUUGUUGUUCAUAUUUUUAGUCCAAAAAGUAAUGCUAUUGAAUAUUUUCAUUUGACAAUUAACAAAUUAGGAAUUUUAUUUAAUAUGUACACAAUCAAAUAAAAA